UGAAACUGGUAUUUUGUAGGCUAAAUAACAAUUGUCCGAUUUUACAGUUCAAAAUAAAACUACAAGAUUUUAUUAAAUUUUUACAUUUAAAUUUCGAGAAAAAAAGAAUUGUUGGUAUUGAACAAGAUUCUGUCAACCAGCAAGAGUACUGAUUACGAAAUGUUUGUAUGAAAUAAACCCGGAGGAGCAGCAACGGAUAUUACGGUGUAGGUGUCAGACUACCAAUUGAAACAAUGCCAUAUAAAACGUAAAACUACGCAUACCCUGACAAUAAUAGUGCUGUUGGUGUCAUUGUUUAAUUGAACUAAUUAACACAUAAGAAAAAAAAAAUAUUUUGUGAAGAAAAAAAAAUCAGGUAAAUUUUAAACCAAAUUUUACUCAGCUAUGAAUUAGAAUUAAGAACA
This 404-nucleotide long non-coding RNA is filed under the name Mytilus galloprovincialis (Mediterranean mussel). The record is from RNAcentral. Lineage: Eukaryota; Metazoa; Mollusca; Bivalvia; Mytilida; Mytilidae.